Molecule: ribosomal RNA, 393 nt
Filed under: uncultured bacterium
Lineage: Bacteria
Description: partial 16S ribosomal RNA
Rfam family: Bacterial small subunit ribosomal RNA
Source: RNAcentral
AUACGGAGGAUCCGAGCGUUAUCCGGAUUUAUUGGGUUUAAAGGGAGCGUAGGCGGGAGAUCAAGUCAGCUGUGAAAUGUAGAUGCUCAACAUCUGCACUGCAGUUGAAACUGGUUUUCUUGAGUGCGUAAGGGGCAGGCGGAAUUCGUCGUGUAGCGGUGGAAUGCUUAGAUAUGACGAAGAACUCCGAUCGCGAAGGCAGCCUGCCGGGCCGCGACUGACGCUGAAGCUCGAAGGUGCGGGUAUCGAACAGGAUUAGAUACCCUGGUAGUCCGCACAGUAAACGAUGGAUACUCGCUGUCGGCGAUAUACGGUCGGUGGCCAAGCGAAAGCGUUAAGUAUCCCACCUGGGGAGUACGCCGGCAACGGUGAAACUCAAAGGAAUUGACGGGG